GACGAACGCUGGCGGCGUGCUUAACACAUGCAAGUCGAACGGUAAGGCUCCAGCUUGCUGGGGUACACGAGUGGCGAACGGGUGAGUAACACGUGGGUGACCUGCCCUGCACUUCGGGAUAAGCCUGGGAAACUGGGUCUAAUACCGGAUAGGACCAUGGUGUGGAUACUGUGGUGGAAAGAUUUUUCGGGGUGGGAUGGGCCCGCGGCCUAUCAGCUUGUUGGUGGGGUAGUGGCCUACCAAGGCGCCGACGGGUAGCCGGCCUGAGAGGGUGGACGGCCACAUUGGGACUGAGACACGGCCCAGACUCCUACGGGAGGCAGCAGUGGGGAAUAUUGCACAAUGGGCGGAAGCCUGAUGCAGCGACGCCGCGUGGGGGAUGACGGCCUUCGGGUUGUAAACUGCUUUCGCCAUUGACGAAGCGUUUGUGACGGUAGAUGGUGAAGAAGCACCGGCUAACUACGUG
This 466-nucleotide ribosomal RNA is filed under the name uncultured bacterium. RNAcentral describes it as "partial 16S ribosomal RNA". It matches the Rfam family "Bacterial small subunit ribosomal RNA", at positions 28 to 507 of the family's 1533-position model. The record is from RNAcentral.